CAAAAAAGUAUUUUAGCAAACAAACAAUGCCGGUCACUGGUGUAAGUGAUUAUCUCCAAUUCAUGUGCAAAUGGUGACAGCAGAUAAAGGGCCAAUAGGGCAUCCCCGGCAGAAGAACAGAACACUUGUAGGAAGGAGGAAUAUUGCUGCCCAUACACUUGCCAAUAAUGACUGCACUACAGAAUGCAGCAAGGAACAAAACACAGAAUCUCCAUGAGAGGCCAAGAGAGGGUGUGCUGCACAGUAUGAUGUUCUUGCUACGAGUAAAAUCUGAUCAAAAAUAAAUAAAUAAAAUAUCAGCCUAAGGAGCUCCCUAAACCAUCCAGUAGCAGAUUGGAGCAGUGUACCCAACAGAUCCAUGAACUGGUUGGUUUUUGGCAGAAAGAGAUGGAGAUGACAAAACCUUUGGAAGUAAAGAAUGUGUCCAGCUGUGUAUUACUGAACUUCCCUACAAGACCCAAACCUGACUGGCUUGUUCUGCUGUGUACCAAUACCUGCAGCAGCUCUUGCUUGUGAGGCAUUGAGAAUCACAGUGCAUCAUCCAAAAAUUCAGAGUUGAAUAUAAACAGAGAUAUUACUGCUUUGAGAUGCAUACAGCUCAGCAAGGUGGAUUCUUAUAAGACCAGACAACAUGGGCUUGCCCAAGCUGAGCACAAGAGCACCUUCCUGGGAAUGAACACGCUUGCAGAAAGCCUGAUGCCAGAGGUAUCCCAAGCUGUACAAGAAAAAUUGAUCUGAGCUGCUGACUUCAGACUCAUUCCAGACUAUAUCUGAGUCCAGACUGACAUGCAAAAAAGGAG
This 800-nucleotide long non-coding RNA is filed under the name Gallus gallus (chicken). RNAcentral's name for it is "lncRNA (ENSGALG00010013447.1)". The record is from RNAcentral. Lineage: Eukaryota; Metazoa; Chordata; Aves; Galliformes; Phasianidae.